AAUAUUGGACAAUGGGGGCAACCCUGAUCUAGCCAUUUCGCGUGUGUGAUGAAGGCCUUCGGGUUGUAAAGCACUUUUGGCAGGAAAGAAAUCGCGCGGGCUAAUAUCCUGCGUGGAUGACGGUACCUGCAGAAUAAGCACCGGCUAACUACGUGCCAGCAGCCGCGGUAAUACGGAGGGGGCAAGCGUUGUUCGGAUUUACUGGGCGUAAAGGGCGCGUAGGCGGAUGUCCGCGUCAGAGGUGAAAGCCCCGGGCUCAACCUGGGAACUGCCUUUGAAACGGGACAUCUUGAGUUCGGAAGAGGGUAGCGGAAUUCCCAGUGUAGAGGUGAAAUUCGUAGAUAUUGGGAAGAACACCAGUAGCGAAGGCGGCUACCUGGUCCGACACUGACGCUGAGGCGCGAAAGCGUGGGGAGCAAAC
Molecule: ribosomal RNA, 421 nt
Filed under: uncultured bacterium
Lineage: Bacteria
Description: partial 16S ribosomal RNA
Rfam family: Bacterial small subunit ribosomal RNA
Source: RNAcentral